Myodes glareolus (Bank vole) is the source of this 1331-nucleotide non-coding RNA. The record is from RefSeq and is a predicted model, not a curated record. Lineage: Eukaryota; Metazoa; Chordata; Mammalia; Rodentia; Cricetidae.
GUGUGUGUGUGUGUGUGUGUGUGUGUGUGUUGGGGGGGUGUCCGUGUUUGUGAUCUGAACCUUUGGUACCUACAAGGAGGGUGUCUCACCGAACGGUAGCUAAAACCUCACCAGGACCGCACGGAACUGUGGAAACACAGCCGAAGGCACCGCCGGAGCUUCAUAUGUGGGCCGGACCCCAGACCCAGCGUUGCAAGGAGCCCCCCGCCCGGAUCACAGAUAAUGGCCAUGCUUCCAUUGGACAAAAUCAGCAUCUCUCACUAGAUUUCACCUCCUAACUGGCUGGUUCACUGAACACUGGGCCAAGUGAUAUUCUUUCAGUGAUCAACAUCUGAAAACAGGACUCCAUUUCUAAGAAGACUUGGUUUCAUAAUGGAGAGCUACAUAAUACGACCAGAUUUGGAGCAAAGAGCCGUGUUCCGCAUUCGCCACUCUACUUCUCAUUUCCUGGACUAAAUACAACAGCGGGAAAUUCUGCAGUCCCUUUUCAAAGAGGGGUUGGCGUGAUACAAUGCAAGUCCUGACUUGGCUAUAAAUGCAGAUUAAUAAAGAAUGACGUUGGGAUACGGUAUUCAGAUAUGUUAUAUCUGAAACUCCAGUUUCUUCGACUGUGGGUGGCAGCCUUAUUUGGGUUUCAUAACUCAAAGCAGGAGUCACAAAAAUGUUCUCAGAAGUAAAUGUUUCUAAAUGCGCAAUGACAAGAAAAUUAAUUCAAAAUAAAACAUAAAAACCUUAGCUUUCUGGCAGUGCUCACCCACACUGCAUUUUGUAAAUUUAUUGCAUCCUUAACUCUGAGCAAACAAUGUGCACUUUACACCGUGCCGGCUGUGACACCGCCUGUAACUAUGACCACUGAACGCCACAGCUCGGCUCGCUGGCUCACUGCACUGUUCCAAUGUAAGUACAACGUUUUCUGCUGUACCCGAAAUAUGGUGGUUUAAUUAUGGAAAACAAAGAGCAUUAAUGUUUUUCUGUCAUCAUUCCUUAGCCCGUAUCAAAUUAAUAUAGCUCACGUUAUUUUUUUGUGUUGGCAUGUUUGAUCUGAGACAGUGCUCUUUGAGUUGCCAACUUGAGUUUCACAAGAAACUGGAAGAGAAUUUCAUUCUUGGAUUAGGACAGCCUUUCCAAUAAUUUCUGCGGUACGCAUGAAUAUACUUCUGCCAUUUCAUGUUUAAUUAGAGUGGUGUUCUCUACAUAGAUAAUUGCUGAGCUACUCUGGAAAACCAAUGUGCAUACUACAUACAGCCACUAACCUUAUGCAGAAAUAAAUAAGUGAGCCAUCUUAUGAAUGUAUACACUUGCUUUCAUUUUAAAUAAAUCAUCAAAUUACA